CUUGCAGUUUGAUCUCAGACUGCUAUGCUAGCAAUCAGCGAGACUCCGUGGGGUAGGACCCUCCAAGCCAGAGUAUCUGACUGUCUUCUCUCAGAUGAUUGCAUUUCAUGAUCCAGAGCUGAGUAAUCAUCUCAAUGAGAUUGGCUUCAUUCCAGAUCUCUAUGCCAUCCCUUGGUUUCUUACCAUGUUUACUCAUGUAUUUCCACUACACAAAAUUUUCCACCUCUGGGAUACCUUACUACUUGGGAAUUCCUCUUUCCCAUUCUGUAUUGGAGUAGCAAUUCUUCAGCAGCUGCGGGACCGGCUUUUGGCUAAUGGCUUUAAUGAGUGUAUUCUUCUCUUCUCCGAUUUACCAGAAAUUGACAUUGAACGCUGUGUGAGAGAAUCUAUCAACCUGUUUUGUUGGACUCCUAAAAGUGCUACUUACAGACAGCAUGCUCAACCUCCAAAGCCAUCUUCUGACAGCAGUGGAGUCAGAAGUUCGGCACCUUAUUUCUCUGCUGAGUGUCCAGAUCCUCCAAAGACAGAUCUGUCAAGAGAAUCCAUCCCAUUAAAUGACCUGAAGUCAGAAGUAUCCCCACGGAUUUCAGCA
RNAcentral lists this small RNA (592 nucleotides) under Pan troglodytes (chimpanzee). RNAcentral describes it as "processed transcript". Lineage: Eukaryota; Metazoa; Chordata; Mammalia; Primates; Hominidae. The record is from RNAcentral.